RNAcentral lists this long non-coding RNA (216 nucleotides) under Lathyrus oleraceus (garden pea). RNAcentral describes it as "Pisum sativum (pea) long non-coding RNA (PSAT_LNC008989)". The record is from RNAcentral. Lineage: Eukaryota; Viridiplantae; Streptophyta; Magnoliopsida; Fabales; Fabaceae.
ACGUUUGAAAGUUUUUGGACCAUGGUUGCUUUUCUUGCCGCGUUUGAACAUUUGAACAAAGAAGAAAAAAACGAAUUAGCUAUUGGUGUCUUCAAAAGAAACACAUCCAUUGAUCUUAGCUUUCAUUUAAUCAAAUAAAACUUAGAUGGAUGCAUCCAUUUUAGGCAUAAAAUCAAGAAUCGAAUGGCAUUGAAGGCUUAAUCGAUUAAAUUAAAC